UGUGUAGGCGGUGCUCUAAGUUUGGUGUGAAAUCUCCCGGCUUAACUGGGAGGGUGCGCCGAAAACUGGAGUGCUCGAGUAUGGGAGAGGUAAGCGGAAUUCCUGGUGUAGCGGUGAAAUGCGUAGAUAUCAGGAGGAACACCUGUAGUGUAGACAGCUUACUGGACCAUCACUGACGCUGAGACACGAAAGCGUGGGUAGCAAACA
RNAcentral lists this ribosomal RNA (207 nucleotides) under uncultured bacterium. RNAcentral describes it as "partial 16S ribosomal RNA". It matches the Rfam family "Bacterial small subunit ribosomal RNA", at positions 568 to 774 of the family's 1533-position model. The record is from RNAcentral.